CUGCGGGGUUCGGGCAUCAGACUCUCUGAACCCCUAAUGGCAGAGAAAUGGUAGUUCCUCGCGCGAGGGUGCGGCUGAGCCUGAGAUCCACUCAGAGCGGGGGCAGGAGGCAGAACCAAGCGCGGAGGAUAGUUUUACAACCUCGGUUUGAACAUGCAUCAUACAGCUUGUGGAAUGAGUAAAAGUUUUCCUACAGAACUUCCAUCUGAAUUCUUUUUCUCUUGUUGAGUUCUCCUGUGGGCUUGAAGGUGUGACUGAUUGACAAAGGCUUUCCCACAGACAUGGUACUCAAAAGAUUUGUCUUGGGUGCACAUUUUCUGGUAGGCAACAUUUGGAGCCUGACUGAAAUCUUUUCCAUACUGAUUAUACUCAGAACUGUUCCCUAUCCUUUGAACAUUUAUUUGUAGUAAUAAGUAUGAGUGUCAUUAAAGACUUUCCAAACUGAUUGCCAAGUUCCCAACAUGUGACAACUUCCCUGAUAAUAAAGAGAUGAAUAACAAUUAAA
Molecule: long non-coding RNA, 505 nt
Organism: Ictidomys tridecemlineatus (thirteen-lined ground squirrel)
Lineage: Eukaryota; Metazoa; Chordata; Mammalia; Rodentia; Sciuridae
Source: RefSeq, a predicted model, not a curated record